GCAGAAGCUGCUCCUUUUCAUAGGACUAUUUGGGAAUUUGGAUUUUCAGGAGAGGGUCAGACAAAUAUAAAAGUUACCAUAUGUAAGCAAAAUGAAGAAACU
Phyllostomus discolor (pale spear-nosed bat) is the source of this 102-nucleotide long non-coding RNA. RefSeq lists it as uncharacterized. The transcript is spliced from 3 exons. The record is from RefSeq and is a predicted model, not a curated record. NCBI's taxonomy places the organism in Eukaryota, Metazoa, Chordata, Mammalia, Chiroptera, Phyllostomidae.